GUCCACGCCGUAAACGAUGCUAACUCGUUUUUGGGGCUUCGGCUUCAGAGACUAAGCGAAAGUGAUAAGUUAGCCACCUGGGGGAGUACGUUCGCAAGAAUGAAACUCAAAGGAAUUGACGGGGGCCCGCACAAGCGGUGGAUUAUGUGGUUUAAUUCGAUGAUACGCGAGGAACCUUACCAAGACUUAAAUGGGAAAUGACAGGUCUAGAAAUAGACCCUUCUUCGGACAUUUUUCAAGGUGCUGCAUGGUUGUCGU
Molecule: ribosomal RNA, 258 nt
Filed under: uncultured bacterium
Lineage: Bacteria
Description: partial 16S ribosomal RNA
Rfam family: Bacterial small subunit ribosomal RNA
Source: RNAcentral